RNAcentral lists this ribosomal RNA (253 nucleotides) under uncultured bacterium. RNAcentral's name for it is "partial 16S ribosomal RNA". It matches the Rfam family "Bacterial small subunit ribosomal RNA", at positions 524 to 776 of the family's 1533-position model. The record is from RNAcentral.
UACGUAGGGUGCGAGCGUUGUCCGGAAUUAUUGGGCGUAAAGAGCUCGUAGGCGGUUUGUCGCGUCGACUGUGAAAACCUACAGCUUAACUGUGGGCUUGCAGUCGAUACGGGCAGACUUGAGUUCGGUAGGGGAGACUGGAAUUCCUGGUGUAGCGGUGAAAUGCACAGAUAUCAGGAGGAACACCGGUGGCGAAGGCGGGUCUCUGGGCCGAUACUGACGCUGAGGAGCAAAAGCGUGGGGAGCGAACAGG